AGGCGAUGCAAUUCUCUUUGGUUAUCUAGCUGUAUGAGUGGUCAUCUACGCAUCAUAAAGCUAGGUUACCAAAGAUAAGUGUAGUCUG
This 88-nucleotide microRNA precursor is filed under the name Patiria miniata (bat star). RNAcentral describes it as "microRNA pmi-mir-9 precursor". Its record names the gene pmi-mir-9. The stretch from base 6 to 84 matches the Rfam family "mir-9/mir-79 microRNA precursor family". From Rfam's summary of the family: The mature ~21nt miRNAs are processed from hairpin precursor sequences represented here. miR-9 is processed from the 5' arm of its precursor, and miR-79 from the 3' arm. The bounds of the precursors are predicted based on conservation and base pairing and are not generally known. The record is from miRBase by way of RNAcentral. Lineage: Eukaryota; Metazoa; Echinodermata; Asteroidea; Valvatida; Asterinidae.